GAUGAACGCUAGCUACAGGCUUAACACAUGCAAGUCGAGGGGUAACGAGAGGAAAGCUUGCUUUCCUUGUCGACGACCGGCGCACGGGUGAGUAACGCGUAUCCAACCUGCCCCCAACUAGGGAAUAACCUUGCGAAAGUAAGACUAAUACCCUAUAAUUUCCUCAGAUGUCAUCUGACGAGGAAUAAAGAUUUAUCGGUUGUGGAUGGGGAUGCGUCUGAUUAGCUUGUUGGCGGGGUAACGGCCCACCAAGGCAACGAUCAGUAGGGGUUGUAAGAGGAAGGUCCCCCACAUUGGAACUGAGACACGGUCCAAACUCCUACGGGAGGCAGCAGUGAGGAAUAUUGGUCAAUGGGCGGAAGCCUGAACCAGCCAAGUAGCGUGCAGGAUGACGGCCCUAUGGGUUGUAAACUGCUUUUAUACAGGAAUAAAGUUAGCCACGUGUGGUUAUUUGUAGGUACUGUAUGAAUAAGGACCGGCUAAUUCCGUGCCAGCCGCCGCAGUAA
This 506-nucleotide ribosomal RNA is filed under the name uncultured bacterium. RNAcentral's name for it is "partial 16S ribosomal RNA". It matches the Rfam family "Bacterial small subunit ribosomal RNA", at positions 28 to 523 of the family's 1533-position model. The record is from RNAcentral.